Molecule: non-coding RNA, 76 nt
Organism: Parelaphostrongylus tenuis
Lineage: Eukaryota; Metazoa; Nematoda; Chromadorea; Rhabditida; Metastrongylidae
Source: the annotation of a GenBank genome assembly
UUCUCGGUGGUGUAGUGGUAGCACAUGCCCCCCGGUAUGGGUGUAACGCGGGUUCAGCUCCCGCCUGAGGUCGGAU